This 258-nucleotide ribosomal RNA is filed under the name uncultured bacterium. RNAcentral's name for it is "partial 16S ribosomal RNA". It matches the Rfam family "Bacterial small subunit ribosomal RNA", at positions 524 to 776 of the family's 1533-position model. The record is from RNAcentral.
UACGUAGGGUGCAAGCGUUGUCCGGAAUUAUUGGGCGUAAAGAGCUCGUAGGCGGUCUGUCGCGUCUGCUGUGAAACUCAGGGCUUAACCCUGAGCUUGCAGUGGGUACGGGGCAGACUAGAGUGCGGUAGGGGAGAACUGGAAUUCCUGGUGUAGCGGUGAAAUGCGCAGAUAUCAGGAGGAACACCGGUGGCGAAGGCGGGUCUCUGGGCCGUAACUGAACGCUGGAGGAAGCGGAAAGCAUGGGGAGCGAACAGG